UCCUCUAAAUAAAUAUUCUGUUCAAAACUUAUUAUAAAUAAUCUUGUCUUGUACCUUGGUUAUGAAAGAUUUUCUUCAAUUUUUAACAUGAUUAUCUAUUUUUUUUUAAGAAAAAACCUUGUAAAAGGGUUCUAAUAAAUAAAAAAUACAAUAAUAACUCUGAAUUUUAAUUUAUCAUCAUUAAAAGUCUUCCCUAUUUAUAUAGAUAUCAAGAAAUUAAACCCUAGUAUUCUAAACUAAAUAAAUUUUAAAUGUAAGAAAUUACAAACAAACAAUAAACUUUCCUUUUUCCUACACAACAUCAUAUAAUUUGUCAAAAGAUAUGCUAAUGAUGCUGGAGUUGUGAUUGAGAUUGGACUGCUGAAAGCUCUCUGCAAGCUGUUACAGGAAAUAUUUAUUUGAUUUCAUAGACAAAUGAAUCUUUACAGUGGUCUACAUGAAUGGUACGAUGGCAAAGCUGGGCUGCGUCAUUUGCCAAUUGUGCCGAAGAGAAGAUGGACAUCAUCUGUGCUUGUUGCAUCAAUUGGUGGCGAUUAAUUUGUGGAUGAUGAGGUUGCUUCAUUUACACUACUUUCUCCUUAGAUCUGCGUUGUGACUAUUCUGACAAGAGAUAGUGUAUAGUUUUAUUAUGUUCAUACAAGAUUAAUUCCUCAAAGUAUAACACUUGCUUUCUGUUUAUAUAAUUUCUUGAUGGUGUAAGCAACUAAACGUCUUUCUUUCUAAUAUCUAACUUUAGCUGUCAGACGUAUGAAGGUGGUAUUGCAGGAGAAUCAGGUCACCUUUACACACAAAAGUUGCCUCUAACUAUGUAUUCUCUCUUUUAAAUUUAUUCUAAUUUUGCCUGGAUCCCAACACAAUACAGGUAUCAUUUGAGGAUCCCAGUCUCAAUGUCAGGGCUCUAAGUGAAAAUCCCGAUUUUUAACCUGGAUUAAUCCCAAUACAAACUGGCCAUAGCCUUGGCAAGUGUUUUUCCAAGUAUUAUGGUGUUUGUUUAAUUACCUGGGGCCUAGUAUGGUGUCAUCCAGCCUUUACAAACAGAGAAAGUCAUGAAAGAUUUUGAAUUAAGCUCACUCCAGUUCAUAUACUCCACCUGUAGUAGAUGCCUAUAUUUUCUAUUUAUGGUAUUCUUGCCUGGAUUACAUUUUUAUUAGAGACUUGCAGAUCACUGGCAAUGUUUUCCUAACUAAAAAUUAGAAUCUGUGUUGCCAACUUUGCUCACUCUAUGGCGUUAUGGUCCUGAUUCUUAUUCCAUGCCGACCUGGGUCUUAUCCCAAACUGGCACCUGGCUUUAAUUAAGCCUCUACCAGAAUGUUCACUUCUGAGCUAUCUGCAUUCAUUUCCUUAGAAAGCAGACAAUAUACUUUCAAGUGGAGUGGAAAGUUGCAAUCUCACUCGAACAGUAACAAAUGCAAUUAAGAAUGCAUGCAAAAGCUGAAAAUAAAAAAAAAACAAAAUAAAUACACGUUCAAGUGAAUUUGCCUUCUUUGGUUACUGUUCAAGUGAAUUAAAUUUCAGUGCCAAUCUCUUAACAUGCAAAAUGCAAAAACUGGGAGAGUAGAGACACGACUUACCUGGUCCGUUGGCCACCCUGACUAUUUCAGUCCUCCACUGUUUUUGGUUCUUUGUUUUGCUUUCGUUUCUCUUCUCUCCCUCUCCUCUGUUCUGUAUUCCGUUUUCUUUUCUUUCACAAUGACGAAAGGAUGAAAGAAAGAAACCCCUCUGAUCCCCAAGAUAUAAUGUAAGGAGAGCUGUUCCUUUCUGGAACGUAUGGUCUCAAAAAAAAGUCUUUUAUAUAGUUGAUUUUCCAGUAUUGUUUG
Molecule: long non-coding RNA, 1817 nt
Filed under: Populus tremula
Lineage: Eukaryota; Viridiplantae; Streptophyta; Magnoliopsida; Malpighiales; Salicaceae
Description: long non-coding RNA (PTRE_LNC001703)
Source: RNAcentral